This 460-nucleotide ribosomal RNA is filed under the name uncultured bacterium. RNAcentral's name for it is "partial 16S ribosomal RNA". It matches the Rfam family "Bacterial small subunit ribosomal RNA", at positions 338 to 795 of the family's 1533-position model. The record is from RNAcentral.
CCUACGGGUGGCAGCAGUGAGGAAUAUUGGUCAAUGGACGAGAGUCUGAACCAGCCAAGUAGCGUGAAGGAUGACUGCCCUAUGGGUUGUAAACUUCUUUUAUAUGGGAAUAAAUUGUUCCAAGUGUGGGAUUUUGUAUGUACCAUAUGAAUAAGGAUCGGCUAACUCCGUUCCAGCAGCCGCGGUAAUACGGAGGAUCCGUGCGUUGUCCGGAUUUAUUGGGUUUAAAGGGAGCGUAGGUGGAUUGUUAAGUCAGUUGUGAAAGUUUGCGGCUCAACCGUAAAAUUGCAGUUGAAACUGGCAGUCUAGAGUACAGUAGAGGUGAGCGGAAUUCGAGGUGUAGCGGUGAAAUGCGUAGAUAUCACGAAGAACUCCGAUUGCGAAGGCAGUUCACUGGACUGCAACUGACACUGAGGCUCGAAAGUGUGGGUAUCAAACAGGAUUAGAUACCCGGGUAGUC